UAAAGUGCGAUAUCUAGUGCGAUUUGCAUGAACUGAGAGUCAUCAAGUAUUUGAACGCAACUUGCGCCUCCUUUGCGGGAGGCAUGACUGUUUGAGUGUUGGCAAAGAGGUGUCGCGCCGAGGCGGACGAGAUGGGAUUUCACGUGGCGUGUGUCCUGAAACGGAGGAAGGGAGAUGGUUGGCUCGACGUGGGCGGCAGCCAUGUGCUAGAGGCCGCAGGUCUUGUCGUGGCUUGGAGCAGACGGCGACGCAACCAGCAACAGCAACAGCAACAGCAACAGCCGCCUCAAAUCAGUCAAGAUUACCCGCCAAACUUAA
Molecule: unclassified non-coding RNA, 318 nt
Filed under: uncultured fungus
Lineage: Eukaryota; Fungi
Description: sequence contains ITS1
Rfam family: 5.8S ribosomal RNA (bases 1-101)
Source: RNAcentral